ACUUCCUGCUGCAGAUGAGCAACCCAGAACUGUGACAAUGACCCAACACCUCCAGGCGGUGUAAGGGCUAUUAGACCAAGAAGGAGAGUGAUGGAGGGCUGCAUCAGAUGACCUGUUCUUCACAAUCACCCGACCUCAACCAAAUUGAGAUGGUUUGGGAUGAGUUGGACCGCAGAGUGAAGGAAAGGCAGCCAACAAGUGCUCCGCAGUUGUGGGAACUCCUUCAAGACUGUUGGAAAAGCAUUCCUGGUGAAGCUGGUUGAGAGAAUGCCAAGAGUGUGCAAAGCUGUCAAGGCCAGGACCUCUCUGUUACUUCCUCUUUCCCAUCAGACUCGCACUGAC
Long non-coding RNA from Oncorhynchus tshawytscha (Chinook salmon), 342 nucleotides. NCBI's taxonomy places the organism in Eukaryota, Metazoa, Chordata, Actinopteri, Salmoniformes, Salmonidae. The record is from Ensembl.